RNAcentral lists this ribosomal RNA (253 nucleotides) under uncultured bacterium. Its description in RNAcentral is "partial 16S ribosomal RNA". It matches the Rfam family "Bacterial small subunit ribosomal RNA", at positions 524 to 776 of the family's 1533-position model. The record is from RNAcentral.
UACAGAGGGGGCGAGCGUUGUUCGGAAUUACUGGGCGUAAAGGGCGCGUAGGCGGCCCGCUAAGUCGAACGUGAAAUCCCCGGGCUCAACCCGGGAACUGCGUCCGAUACUGGCAGGCUUGAAUCCGGGAGAGGGAUGUGGAAUUCCAGGUGUAGCGGUGAAAUGCGUAGAUAUCUGGAGGAACACCGGUGGCGAAGGCGGCGUCCUGGACCGAGAUCGACGCUGAGGCGCGAAAGCUAGGGGAGCAAACGGG